This 529-nucleotide long non-coding RNA is filed under the name Homo sapiens (human). RNAcentral's name for it is "HSALNT0221679". Lineage: Eukaryota; Metazoa; Chordata; Mammalia; Primates; Hominidae. The record is from RNAcentral.
CAGGAAUUUCUGUUUUCCCCUCCGCGGGGCUGGAAGAAAAAACAAUAAUUAGGGUGACUCUGACGAUUAAAGACGCAUAUUUUUGAUCCCAUGAGGACCCUAAACGCAAGCCAGCGACUUUAUCUGGUGCUCAACUGAAGAUAUAGCCACAUUUUCCCACAUUGGAGGAAGACUGUUUUGGACUUACUGAGAGGUACUAAGUCCGGGUACUGUACCUAUGAGUGACUGAAGACAUUUUCAAGGGGUCGUCUGGACUUAGCACAUUUAUCUCCUUCACUCCGACCUUAAGACAACCCCCACUGUGAAGGACAGGAUGCCAGGACAGGGGCACCUGCCUGAGUCAUUUGGAGGAUGAGCCGUGAGACUGGGAAGGUGGACAGCAUCGGGAUAGGGAGAACUGAUGGUAAAGUGAAGGCUGAAACCAGCCCCUAGUGGCAAAGCAUGGAAACAGAAAACUUCACAGCAGAGACCAUCCUUUCACUUCCCGUCGACAUCCUACUGGAAGUUUCCUUAAUAAAAAUAUUCCCAC